UACGUAGGGUGCAAGCGUUAUCCGGAAUUAUUGGGCGUAAAGAGCUCGUAGGCGGUUUGUCGUGUCUGCUGUGAAAACUGGAGGCUCAACCUCCAGCCUGCAGUGGGUACGGGCAGACUAGAGUGCGGUAGGGGAGAUUGGAAUUCCUGGUGUAGCGGUGGAAUGCGCAGAUAUCAGGAGGAACACCGAUGGCGAAGGCAGAUCUCUGGGCCGUAACUGACGCUGAGGAGCGAAAGCAUGGGGAGCGAACAGG
This 253-nucleotide ribosomal RNA is filed under the name uncultured bacterium. RNAcentral describes it as "partial 16S ribosomal RNA". It matches the Rfam family "Bacterial small subunit ribosomal RNA", at positions 524 to 776 of the family's 1533-position model. The record is from RNAcentral.